GAUGAAGAGCGCAGCGAAAUGCGAUAAGUAGUGUGAAUUGCAGAAUUCAGUGAAUCAUCGAAUCUUUGAACGCACAUUGCGCCCCUUGGUAUUCCAUGGGGCAUGCCUGUUCGAGCGUCAUUUGUACCUUCAAGCUUUGCUUGGUGUUGGGUGUUUGUCCCGAGGGACUCGCCUUAAAGUAAUUGGCAGCCAGUGUUUGGUUUUGAAGCGCAGCACAAGUCGCGAUUCAAGGCUACACGCCCGCUUCCACAAGCCUUUUUUCACUUUUGACCUCGGAUCAGGUAGGGAUACCCGCUGAACUUAAGCAUAUCAUAAGCGGAGGA
Molecule: unclassified non-coding RNA, 323 nt
Filed under: soil metagenome
Description: partial contains 5.8S ribosomal RNA, internal transcribed spacer 2, and large subunit ribosomal RNA
Rfam family: 5.8S ribosomal RNA (bases 1-120)
Source: RNAcentral